GCUGGAGUGGUGAAAUUGGUAUACACAUAGUGUUCAGAACGCUACGAGCGUAAGCUUAUGCGGGUUCAAGUCCCGCCCUCCAGCACAA
Molecule: transfer RNA, 88 nt
Filed under: Candidatus Yonathbacteria bacterium
Lineage: Bacteria; Candidatus Yonathiibacteriota
Description: tRNA-Leu
Rfam family: tRNA
About the family: Transfer RNA (tRNA) molecules are approximately 80 nucleotides in length. Their secondary structure includes four short double-helical elements and three loops (D, anti-codon, and T loops).
Source: RNAcentral